GCCAUACCGCGUGUGUGAAGAAGGCUCUAGGGUUGUAAAGCACUUUAAGCAGGGAGAAAAAGUUAUAAGUUAAUACCUUAUAACCGUGAUGUUACCUGCAGAAUAAGCACCGGCUAAUUCCGUGCCAGCAGCCGCGGUAAUACGGAAGGUGCAAGCGUUAAUCGGAAUUACUGGGCGUAAAGCGCGCGUAGGUGGUUUGUUAAGUUGGAUGUGAAAGCCCUGGGCUCAACCUAGGAACUGCAUCCAAAACUAACUCACUAGAGUACGAUAGAGGGAGGUAGAAUUCAUAGUGUAGCGGUGGAAUGCGUAGAUAUUAUGAAGAAUACCGGUGGCGAAGGCGGCCUCCUGGAUCUGUACUGACACUGAGGUGCGAAAGCGUGGGUAGCGAACAGGAUUAGAUACCCUAGUAGUCCACGCCGUAAACGAUGACAACUAGCUGUUGGGAGACAAUGUCUUUCAGUGGCGCAGCUAACGUUUUAAGUUGUCCGCCUGGGGAGUACGGCCGCAAGGUUGAAACUCAAAGGAAUUGACGGGGGCCCGCACAAGCGGUGGAGUAUGUGGUUUAAUUCGAUGCAACGCGAAGAACCUUACCUGGCCUUGACAUGUCCGGAAUCCUGCAGAGAUGCGGGAGUGCCUUCGGGAAUCGGAACACA
This 653-nucleotide ribosomal RNA is filed under the name uncultured marine bacterium. RNAcentral's name for it is "bacterial SSU rRNA". It matches the Rfam family "Bacterial small subunit ribosomal RNA", at positions 391 to 1036 of the family's 1533-position model. The record is from RNAcentral.